This is a long non-coding RNA of Argiope bruennichi, 512 nucleotides long. RefSeq lists it as uncharacterized. Lineage: Eukaryota; Metazoa; Arthropoda; Arachnida; Araneae; Araneidae. The record is from RefSeq and is a predicted model, not a curated record. The transcript has 5 exons.
AAAAGUUUUAAUAAAAUUAUUCAGCCAUCUUAAUUAUUAUAAAAAUAAAAUAGCAUUGGCAAAGACAGCGAACGCGUAAAUCCAGAUUUGAACAUACCAGCAUGUGCGCAUUAAUUAGAAGCACAGUUAUUCUUUAUGAUGUCCGUAUGGGUACCUGAAUAAAUAUCGUUCAUCGUUACCUAGAACAAAUAUCAAGUAAAUAUCUUUUCUGAGAAAUGAUUUAAAGUGCCGAGAAAGAUUUUCAAGAAGCGAAUGAAUCCAAACAGAUGCAGAGUCAUGCACGAAUGCUGAGUCGAAAUCCGACGUUUCUGCAGAGCAGUUGCGAUCAUCAGAUGAGCUCUUGACUCCUCAUCCAAGUCAUUUACUGCCUGCAUCGGUUCAGAUUCAAUAAUGCUGAUGUCCUUGGGAGAAAACAGCAAAAAUAAAUGCAAACAUUGAACAUAUUCAAUCAAGGCAUCUGAGUCAAAAAAUGCUAUACAGAUUUUUUUAUUAUUUCUGAAUAAAAAGUUUUU